UUAAUUGAAACCAAUAUUGAGGUUAGUUACUGUUAAUAACUACAAAGAAAAUCUAAUUUUCCAAUUAAA
This 69-nucleotide transfer RNA is filed under the name Hydropsyche fryeri. RNAcentral describes it as "tRNA-Asn". The record is from RNAcentral. Lineage: Eukaryota; Metazoa; Arthropoda; Insecta; Trichoptera; Hydropsychidae.